UGAGUAAUGCAUCGGAACGUGGCCCGAGUUCGUGGGGGGAUAACGCAGCGAAAGCUGCGCUAAUACCGCAUACGAUCUGAGGAUGAAAAGCGGGGGGACCCGUUAAAGGGCCUCGCGCGAUCGGAGCGGCCGAUGUCAGAUUAGGUAGUUGGUGGGGUAAAGGCUCACCAAGCCGACGAUCUGUAGCUGGUCUGAGAGGACGACCAGCCACACUGGGACUGAGACACGGCCCAGACUCCUACGGGAGGCAGCAGUGGGGAAUUUUGGACAAUGGGCGCAAGCCUGAUCCAGCAAUGCCGCGUGCAGGAAGAAGGCCUUCGGGUUGUAAACUGCUUUUGUACGGAGCGAAAAGGCCCUCUCUAAUACAGGGGGUUCAUGACGGUACCGUAAGAAUAAGCACCGGCUAACUACGUG
RNAcentral lists this ribosomal RNA (414 nucleotides) under uncultured bacterium. Its description in RNAcentral is "bacterial SSU rRNA". It matches the Rfam family "Bacterial small subunit ribosomal RNA", at positions 107 to 507 of the family's 1533-position model. The record is from RNAcentral.